AGUGAACGCUGGCGGUAGGCCUAACACAUGCAAGUCGAACGGCAGCACGGUAAGAGCUUGCUCUUACGGGUGGCGAGUGGCGGACGGGUGAGGAAUACAUCGGAAUCUACUUUUUCGUGGGGGAUAACGUAGGAAACUUACGCUAAUACCGCAUACGACCUACGGGUGAAAGUAGGGGAUCUUCGGACCUUGCGCGAUUGAAUGAGCCGAUGUCGGAUUAGCUAGUUGGCGGGGUAAAGGCCCACCAAGGCGACGAUCCGUAGCUGGUCUGAGAGGAUGAUCAGCCACACUGGAACUGAGACACGGUCCAGACUCCUACGGGAGGCAGCAGUGGGGAAUAUUGGACAAUGGGCGCAAGCCUGAUCCAGCCAUACCGCGUGGGUGAAGAAGGCCUUCGGGUUGUAAAGCCCUUUUGUUGGGAAAGAAAAGCAGCAGGUUAAUACCCCGCUGUUCUGACGGUACCCAAAGAAUAAGCACCGGCUAACUUCGUG
RNAcentral lists this ribosomal RNA (491 nucleotides) under uncultured bacterium. RNAcentral's name for it is "partial 16S ribosomal RNA". It matches the Rfam family "Bacterial small subunit ribosomal RNA", at positions 29 to 507 of the family's 1533-position model. The record is from RNAcentral.